GAUGAACGCUGGCGGCGUGCCUAAUACAUGCAAGUCGAGCGAACGGACGAGAAGCUUGCUUUUCUGAUGUUAGCGGCGGACGGGUGAGUAACACGUGGAUAACCUACCUAUAAGACUGGGAUAACUUCGGGAAACCGGAGCUAAUACCGGAUAAUAUUUUGAACCGCAUGGUUCAAAAGUGAAAGACGGUCUUGCUGUCACUUAUAGAUGGAUCCGCGCUGCAUUAGCUAGUUGGUAAGGUAACGGCUUACCAAGGCAACGAUGCAUAGCCGACCUGAGAGGGUGACCGGCCACACUGGAACUGAGACACGGUCCAGACUCCUACGGGAGGCAGCAGUAGGGAAUCUUCCGCAAGGGGGGAAAGCUUGACGGAGCAACGCGGCGGGAGUGAGGAAGGGCUUCGGAUCGUAAAACUCUGUUAUUAGGAAAGAACAGAUGUGUAAGUAACUGUGCACAUCUUGACGGUACCUAAUAAGAAAGCCACGGCUAACUACGU
RNAcentral lists this ribosomal RNA (496 nucleotides) under uncultured bacterium. Its description in RNAcentral is "partial 16S ribosomal RNA". It matches the Rfam family "Bacterial small subunit ribosomal RNA", at positions 28 to 506 of the family's 1533-position model. The record is from RNAcentral.